CGCACCUUGCGCCCUUUGGUAUUCCGAAGGGCAUGCCUGUUUGAGUGUCAUUAAAUUCUCAACCUUGCUCGCUUUUACUAGCUUGAGUGAGGCUUGGAUGUGAGGGCUUUGCUGGCUUCCUUCAGUGGAUGGUCUGCUCCCUUUAAAUGCAUUAGUGGGAUCUCUUGUGGACCGUCACUUGGUGUGAUAAUUAUCUAUGCCUCGUUGACUUUGAAGCAAAACUAUGGGAACCUGCUUAUAGAACCUGCUUAUAACCGUCUCGCAAGGGACAACUCUGACAUUUUGACCUCAAAUCAGGUAGGACUACCCGCUGAACUUAA
This 320-nucleotide unclassified non-coding RNA is filed under the name Mycena meliigena. RNAcentral's name for it is "partial contains 5.8S ribosomal RNA, internal transcribed spacer 2, and large subunit ribosomal RNA". The record is from RNAcentral. Lineage: Eukaryota; Fungi; Basidiomycota; Agaricomycetes; Agaricales; Mycenaceae.